RNAcentral lists this ribosomal RNA (282 nucleotides) under uncultured Gigaspora. Its description in RNAcentral is "partial 18S ribosomal RNA". It matches the Rfam family "Eukaryotic small subunit ribosomal RNA", at positions 548 to 842 of the family's 1831-position model. The record is from RNAcentral. Lineage: Eukaryota; Fungi; Glomeromycota; Glomeromycetes; Diversisporales; Gigasporaceae.
UUGGAGGGCAAGUCUGGUGCCAGCAGCCGCGGUAAUUCCAGCUCCAAUAGCGUAUAUUAAAGUUGUUGCAGUUAAAAAGCUCGUAGUUGAAUUUCGGGGUUCUACCGUUGGUCGGGCUUUGUCUGUACUGGCGUGUAGAAUUUCUACCUUCUGGGGAACCACCAUGUUAUUAAUUUAACGUGGUGGGAAACCAGGACCUUUACCUUGAAAAAUUGAGUGUUCAAAGCAGGCUUAUGUCUGAAUACAUUAGCAUGGAAUAUAAAAUGGACGUGGUCCUGUUUU